This 439-nucleotide ribosomal RNA is filed under the name uncultured bacterium. RNAcentral describes it as "partial 16S ribosomal RNA". It matches the Rfam family "Bacterial small subunit ribosomal RNA", at positions 339 to 795 of the family's 1533-position model. The record is from RNAcentral.
CUACGGGGUGCUGCAGUGAGGAAUAUUGCACAACGGGGGGAACCCUGAUGCAGCAACGCCGCGUGGAGGAUGACGCAUUUCGGUGUGUAAACUCCUUUUAUAUGUCAAGAAAAUGACGGUAGCAUAUGAAUAAGCACCGGCUAACUCCGUGCCAGCAGCCGCGGUAAUACUGAGGGUGCAAGCGUUACUCGGAAUCACUGGGCGUAAAGGACGCGUAGGCGGGUUGGAAAGUCAGGUGUGAAAUCCUACAGCUUAACUGUAGAACUGCACUUGAAACUUCUAAUCUAGAGUAUGGGAGGGGGAGAUGGAAUUAGUGGUGUAGGGGUAAAAUCCGUAGAUAUCACUAGGAAUACCUAAAGCGAAGGCGAUCUCCUGGAACAUUACUGACGCUAAGGCGUGAAAGCGUGGGGAGCAAACAGGAUUAGAUACCCUAGUAGUC